UUGGCUGACCUGUGGGGGCUGCACCACCGGAGGUGUCGUCUCCUUUCUCAUAAAGGAGAGCAAACCAUAAGAGUUGUACGUAUCCAGCAAGGCUGCACUUGUACUCCAGAAAGCACCGGCAGACUGCCAAAUGACUUGGUUGCAUUGCAUUGGAAAAGCCUGGCUAAUCGCUCCGAGACCUGUCCGGGAAAGCAACCACGGGAAGGAAGUUAAGCACAUGCUUAAAGUAACGACAAUGAGGAAUGUUCGCCACAAACUGACAGCACAUACAUAGCUCCGUCCUGAGGGCAGGAAGAAGAAAUACCAGUGGAAACGACUCAUCCCAGAGUAGGGAAUGAUGAGAAAUGAUAAAGAAAGUGACAGAAGAACCAUUGGAUUCUUUAGCAGAGUAUCAUAGUGCCAUGGACCAUCCCCACUCUGUUAAGCACUGUACAACCAGAGCACAGAAAAGAUUAUCCUGCCCCAAAGAGCUGCCAAUCUAAGACAAGAGACAACAGAUGGACACAGACAAGUGAGAGAGAACUAGGAAACAAUGAGACAAUGUAGCUCAGCAGGAUGGACAGGGAUCUCAGCCCACCUGCAGUCUAAUCACUGUCAAGUUUUUUUUAGCAUCACAUUAAAGGAGAGUUUGAAGGAGGAAGUUUUGUGGAUGUUAAUGCAGAGUUUCCUCCAGGCAAGAAGGGGCCUGAGGGUAGUCUAGACCUGGACACUGAAACGUCAGCCACUGGAAAUGUGCAGAAGUCGCAGAAUAGGGACAGAACUAGGAAGUUACAGUUGGGCUGAAGAUCAAGAGGAGCAGACGCCCAACAUUGGGGGACUUUUUUUUCUUUGAAACAGCUGCUGAGAAGAAACCAUCAAUGCACUUUGCCUUGACUUUAGGGAAGCAAUAGAUAAAAUAUGGUAUGAAACCCUAAUCUCAAGAGCCAGGGAGUUUGGUGUGGGGUGGACCUGGAGCAACCUUGGGCACAGAAGACCUGUGAGUGGAAAUAGAAUGAAUGGGAGGUAAUUAGCAGUAUUAUGGCCCAGUAACUUGCAAGCUAGCGUAUGAAGGGGUGACCAAAUGCACCCUUGUAUGCACAUCCUCCACACCAUUGUAAUAAUCUUUGUACAAGAUGUCCCUUGUUAAGGUAUCAUGUGAAAACUAAUAACUCACUGGUCAGUAAUAUGAUGAAAUGUAUGCAGCAACAUUAUAUGUAAAGUUAUGAAUUCCCCUGACCGAUGUUGGUGGCAUAUAUUCAAACCCAUGUUAAACAAAAGUGUGUGUGUUUACUUACCUCAAGUUACAUAUAGGUUGUAAACCGAGUCCUCAGACAGCAAAAGGGGGAAGAUGGGAGACAAGGAAAAUGUGCAUUUCAGCAAACAGAGGUGAGAAGAAACAGCGUACAGCCUCUUUCGCUACCAGACCCCAUGUCUCCGUCCUCAUAGCUGGAAGGACCUUUCUCUAGGUAUGACCCUCAGGGAAAUGCAUUUCAAAAGGUGACUGAACUGUAAAAGAAAGGGGCAAAAACAUGGUCUCUCCCUCUCCAUCGCUCUCUUUGUCACCUAAGAGGACAAAAGAAACAGCCAUUGGACUUUGGGAACACGUCUUGGCCUAAGAGUUUGGUCAGCCAUGUUACUGGAACCUUCUGGUAAGGGACUUCCUUGAACCAAGUCUAGUUU
Molecule: long non-coding RNA, 1659 nt
Organism: Malaclemys terrapin pileata
Lineage: Eukaryota; Metazoa; Chordata; Testudines; Emydidae
Exons: 3
Source: RefSeq, a predicted model, not a curated record